UACGUAGGGUGCAAGCGUUAAUCGGAAUUACUGGGCGUAAAGCGUGCGCAGGCGGCUUUGCAAGACAGAUGUGAAAUCCCCGGGCUCAACCUGGGAACUGCAUUUGUGACUGCAAAGCUAGAGUACGGCAGAGGGGGAUGGAAUUCCGCGUGUAGCAGUGAAAUGCGUAGAUAUGCGGAGGAACACCGAUGGCGAAGGCAAUCCCCUGGGCCUGUACUGACGCUCAUGCACGAAAGCGUGGGGAGCGAACCGG
RNAcentral lists this ribosomal RNA (253 nucleotides) under uncultured bacterium. Its description in RNAcentral is "partial 16S ribosomal RNA". It matches the Rfam family "Bacterial small subunit ribosomal RNA", at positions 524 to 776 of the family's 1533-position model. The record is from RNAcentral.